Long non-coding RNA from Erinaceus europaeus (western European hedgehog), 1903 nucleotides. RefSeq lists it as uncharacterized. The record is from RefSeq and is a predicted model, not a curated record. The transcript is spliced from 3 exons. NCBI's taxonomy places the organism in Eukaryota, Metazoa, Chordata, Mammalia, Eulipotyphla, Erinaceidae.
GCACUUUUCUGGGCUCUCAGAGUCACCUAGCGAGGCCAGGAGGCUCCCAAGUGCGUGGGUUCCUGGCUUCCGGUGUAGCUCUGGUUCAUUCUGUCCCCAGGAUGGCUCAGCUGUGACCACAACCCUGCUCCCUUAUCAUACCAGCAAAAGUCCCAUCGACCCGGAGCAGAGUGGCCAGGGCGGCGGAGGGCAUCGCCCGAGCCUCUGCACCCCUGAACUUGGCGGCGCAGAGCGCACGAGCCUCAUUCACAGAUAGGAAGAGCGAGGCCCGGCCGCUGCAGAAUAUGGUCAGCAGUUACUGGGCAGGCGCCACACUGGUCCCCGGAGCAGGGGCCGCAUCUACCAGAGGAGAGAAACAUGUCCCCACCUGGGUCUGCUAUCUGCUCCAUGGAGAAAAGAGGACAUGAAGCAACAGCUUAGGAAGAUUUACUCUCAGGGGACUCUAUUCAAAGUCUCUCUAACUGGGCCAGCUGGACAUCUGGAAAAGUCAUCUCCUGCCUGUCAGAGUUAGGCCAUUUCCGGGAGAACAUCAAGUCCUAGCUUGGAAAUCAAAGGCAGGACGGGUGAGAACCAGAGCCCUGGACUGGGCAGGUCAAGGGCUGGUCAGAAAACCAUGGGUUCAAGAGGGCUUGCCACUGGAUAAUCUCCCCCACAUACCCAGCACCCCACUUCUCCAAUCCUUCCCCUUCUCAUGCUCCCCCAACCCCAGGAGGGGCUCUCUUUAAGUGUCUGCAAGCCCCUUUGUGCAAAGUCCCCCCCAACCUCUUGGAGAAUGGCUUGUCUUCUUCCUCCUGCUCAGCAAGUAGCCCGGGUCAGAGAGAAGGAGGGUUCACUAGUCAAGAUGUCAACUCUCUCAGUGAACUGAGUAACACAAUGAACAUUUCUGACAUUUUGUAUGCCUCUGUAGCUCUGGUCUUAAAGACUUCAGCUCCACUUGAAGAUCCUAGUAGUGCACGUCAGAUCAACUCUCCCACAGUGGCCAGUGACCCAGUGAGUCAGCCCACCCCGUCCAAGCCUUCCUUGCCUUGCCAACUUCUCGAUAUGAGCAGAACCCAGAUGUGGUUUGGGGUCACCUUACAGGGAUCUCACUCCCCACACAUAUCCCUGUGCCACAGGCUAAGCCACCAUACCUUGGCCUCCCUAGCUAAGCCCUGCUGUGUUCCUUGAUUCAUCCGCUCACUCACAAGUCCUUACUGAGCGACUGCCAAGCUGUGUGUUGGGUGUGAGGACACACUCAGAAGCCCAGCGUAGGUACAGAGAGGAUUUGAAACUGGAGGUGCUAAAUGCUCUCCAGAGGCCAGAAGCUUCCCUCACUGGCAGGGGGCAGGCACUCUGAGAGCAGGAAGGUGCCAGAAAUUCCCUCAGUGGCAGGUUUGACCCCUGGAGAGAUGGAGAGUGAGCCUUCCAUAAAGCCCCUUGCCUGGUGCGGCUUAUAGCCCAAAGGAGACAGACCAUUGACCCUACCUUCCUGGACAAACAGCACACUCUUCCUUAGGCUUCUGUUUUCCUCCCAAUGAAGUCUAUUUGCUCUUCCCAUAGGAGCCCUCCUCCCCCAUGCCUGAAAACCGCCCAGACAGGCCCCUGCUUCUAACGUCACUCAUGUAAGGAGUUACUCAUGUAAAAAAAAUAAACUAUUCUGGGGAGUCGGGCUGUAGCACAGCGGGUUAAGCGCAGGUGGCGCAAAGCACAAGGACCGGCAUAAGGAUCCCGGUUCGAACCCCGGCUCCCCACCUGCAGGGGAGUCGCUUCACAGGCAGCGAAGCAGGUCUGCAGGUGUCUAUCUUUCUCUCCUCCUCUCUGUCUUCCCCUCCUCUCUCCAUUUCUCUCUGUCCUAUCCAACAACAACAACAAUAAUAACUACAACAAUAAAAAACAAGGGCAACAAAAGGGAAUAAAUAAAUAU